GAAGAAAUGUCUCAACUCUCUGACAUAAUUUCAGAACGCGACGAUUUUACUCCCUUCUGUUAACCUGACUCCCGUACCGCAAACCAAACAACCAAACGAACUACGUAGCCACAUAGGCAACAGGUGAAAACACCCCACCUCCCACCUUCUUCCUCCCCGUGCAACCCACCCCCACUGCGUAGCGCCCCCUCCAUCUACACCUCACCUCCCCCCGCCCUACCUGCAUCCAACCCCGGGCGGUGCCCCGCCGCGCCCACCCCCACCCCCACCUUUCUCCCCGGCGGCGCGCUGCCACGCCUCAACUCCAUCCACCUUUCUCCCCCACCGUGCCCACCCCACCUCCUUGCGGCCCACCACUGCUGCUGCACGCCUCCUGCACAACCACGCCCCGAUGUGCCGCCUCCUGCUACCUCCGUCCUCCUUUCCGGAUUCAGCCGAGCAGGGCCCCAGCAACCACCACCCCCGCCCAGAUCCGUCAGGCGCGCGCCGGAGGUGCCGAGCCGCGGCCGGAUCCAUGGAGUCGACCCCGAAUCCCAUCGUCCUCAAGACACGACUGCAUCGGGGCCGCAUCUUCCAUAGGAUCCAGAAUCUCCCACUUUCCUCUUUCCCGGCUCGUUGCAGUUUAGUGGUUGCACGCUGCGGCGCCGAUGCGUGCCCUGUACGCGGCUAGCUCUCCACCCUCUUCUUCAACCUACGGGUGGUACUACCACCGUGGGCGUGGGUGCCUAGCCUGCUGCCCCGCAUCGGCGCCUCUACGUGCAUCUCCGGCCGUCCAACCUCGCGCCUCGACGGCCUCCUACAAGCACGGCUAUGUCGACCGCGGAGUUCAGCUGGGCGCUGCAGCUCUCCCUCCUCACCCAUGCCACUUCGUCCACAUCGUCAGUGCUUUCGACAGACCACCUGCAGUUCGCCCCCUCCCCUUGGCGGCCCAGCGGCCACCACGAGCCGGUGACACCCUGCAUGCUGCAGUUCUUUUUGGGUUGAUGUUGAAUUAAUCGGUGCUGAAGGCCCGUGCAGUCUGUUGUGGCGCAAGCAUGCAGUACGGGCGGCGGCGAGGUAGCUCGUGUAGUUCCUGUACGCGGCGCGUGCGGUUUGUUUGCAGCCCAUGUGCAGGAUGCAUGCAGGUCGUGUGUGUGUGUGUGUCGACGUUCAGUUCGCCGGGAAACUACAGAAGAAAAAUGAUCAUUUUUUUAAGUUCACUUUCUUCUUGAAUGUGUUAGAGAGAAAAUGUAAAAAGUUACAAAAAAGAUGUAGUCCGUUGGUGUAGUGCUUGCAGCUCGCGCAGUUCGUCUGUGAAGUUUUUAGGUAUUUUUUAUUUGUAAUAAGGUGUCUGGUUAA
Triticum aestivum (bread wheat) is the source of this 1338-nucleotide long non-coding RNA. RefSeq lists it as uncharacterized. The record is from RefSeq and is a predicted model, not a curated record. Lineage: Eukaryota; Viridiplantae; Streptophyta; Magnoliopsida; Poales; Poaceae. The transcript is spliced from 2 exons.